UGUGGGAGAGGAACAUGGGCUCAGGACAGCAGGUGUCAGCUUGCCUGACCCUCAUGUCGCCCCUGUAG
MicroRNA precursor from Gorilla gorilla gorilla (western lowland gorilla), 68 nucleotides. The record is from Ensembl. NCBI's taxonomy places the organism in Eukaryota, Metazoa, Chordata, Mammalia, Primates, Hominidae.